Molecule: ribosomal RNA, 469 nt
Filed under: uncultured bacterium
Lineage: Bacteria
Description: bacterial SSU rRNA
Rfam family: Bacterial small subunit ribosomal RNA
Source: RNAcentral
UUCCAGACUCCUACGGGAGGCAGCAGUGAGGAAUAUUGGUCAAUGGGCGGGAGCCUGAACCAGCCAAGCCGCGUGAAGGAAGAAGGCGCCAGGCGUCGUAAACUUCUUUUGUCGGGGAACAAAGGGCGCCACGUGUGGCGUUGUGAGUGUACCCGAAGAAAAAGCAUCGGCUAACUCCGUGCCAGCAGCCGCGGUAAUACGGAGGAUGCGAGCGUUAUCCGGAUUUAUUGGGUUUAAAGGGAGCGUAGGCCGGUCUUUAAGCGUGCCGUGAAAUUUUGUGGCUCAACCAUGAGAGUGCGGCGCGAACUGGAGACCUUGAGUGCGCGGAAGGCAGGCGGAAUUCGUGGUGUAGCGGUGAAAUGCUUAGAUAUCACGAAGAACCCCGAUUGCGAAGGCAGCCUGCCGCAGCGUUACUGACGCUGAAGCUCGAAAGCGCGGGUAUCGAACAGGAUUAGAUACCCCCGUAGUC